This is a small nuclear RNA of Rattus norvegicus (Norway rat), 161 nucleotides long. Ensembl annotates it as U2 spliceosomal RNA. NCBI's taxonomy places the organism in Eukaryota, Metazoa, Chordata, Mammalia, Rodentia, Muridae. The record is from Ensembl.
AUCGCUUCUCGGCCUUUUGGCUAAGAUCAAGUGUAGCAUUUGGCAACCAUACACUGUUCAGUAGGAUAUCACUAAGAAUUUAAAAGUGUGUUGGGGUGAAUUGUGCACCUGCUUAGAACAUUGGUGGAAAUUUGAUUUUUUUUAAAACCAGAUGAUAUUUU